UCAAGACAUUAAAAAGCAUACAAUAUUUCUGUGUAAUUGAUAACAUUUUUACAAAGUGAAACAUAGCUCCCGGAUUUGUUAUUUUGUUUUAAGAUUAUUUCUUAUCCAAACUAUCUUUGCUUUUCAGGACUUUGUGAAGUCACUUGCUAAUGCUGUUUUACAGAUGAAGAAUAUAAGGUGAGAGAUGAAACAAUUAUGUUCCCAAGGACCUUGAUUAGGGCUAGAGUAGAUGAGAUACUGAAUGUGUUAUUGACCCAGAUGUGUUGCAGACAUGCGGCCCUUGAUUCAGAGUGGGACCAUGGCAGGAACAAACAGACUCUAUGCUUCUGGAACAUUCUGAGCUUCAGUCACCUAUGAGCCACUGGGUAAGGACACAAGCCAUUCCAAUCUUGGUACAUCUAAUUUCUUGGUAAAUUACUGUCAUUUCAACUUUGACUAUAUGUGAAAAUUUGUGUGCAUUGCACAAUGUGUUUUUGAGGCAUUUUGUAUGGGCAAAUUUGUACUUGGAGGGAGGGGAUCUGGGCCUUGCCAUGGAGGGAGAGUUAACUUUUUCUUUCCAAUCUGGUCCUAAUCCAUAUUGUGCC
RNAcentral lists this long non-coding RNA (584 nucleotides) under Pogona vitticeps (central bearded dragon). RNAcentral's name for it is "lncRNA (ENSPVIG00000000787.1)". The record is from RNAcentral. Lineage: Eukaryota; Metazoa; Chordata; Lepidosauria; Squamata; Agamidae.